UUUUCUACUUUAGUUAUUAAACGGUUUAUUAGUAAUUUAAUAACAAUCCCAUUUCUGAAAUUUAUCUCUUUUUUAUUUUUUAUUUUUUAUUUUUUAGUUUUAGAAAUUUGCAUCCACUGUCACGUUUAUGCAUCUUCCCUUCCCCCUAAUAUAUCUCUUUCUCCUACAAAAAAAAUCCCCAAUUUUUCUCUAAAAAAUCCCUAAUUUCAUCCAAAUACGAGACCUAGUCUUCCAUAUACCCUCAUCCCGAUUUCGUUAGUGCCAAUUUUCCUCUAACUUCACAGACCUUCCAUACCCAUCCGCGAUUUCCUCCGCUAAUUUUCCCUCAAAUUCGCAGACCUUUCAUACCCAUCUCCGAUUUCCUCCGCUAAUUUUCUCUCAAAUUCGCAGACCCCAAUCUUCCAUAACCCCAUCCCCAAUUUUCUAGGUUGUUUCGCCCAUAGAGGCUUCUCUCCCAAAUUCUAAUGUUGAGACAAGCUUGGGAAAAAUCAGAAUUUAAACAAUGAGAGAUCUGAACAUCCAAAGAAUCACUCAUCCGAUUUCAGAAUCAAUUCUUUUUCUACAAUUCUACAAUAAACACAUGUUUUUUGUAGCACCUGCAAAUUUAACAAAUGGUGAUGAAACUUUCUAUAAGUAUGCUCCAGUUCCACCUGAUAAGCUUAUCAGAAAGGCCACAAGAGCUGGGACAAAAUGAGAAUUUAAACAAGAGAAGAGAUGUUGAAGUUAGUAUAUAGUGAUUGACAUAUUGAGAUUCAUAUAGAGCUUAUCCUUGCUGCAAAAGGUCCCUAACACACUGUUAUCCUGGUUGACAUAUUGAGAUUAAUACAGAGCUUAUCUUUGCUGUAAAGGUUCUCAAGAAGUGUCCUUGAGAUCCCUUUGCUCAAUAGUUAUGAUAACAUGAUUUAAAUUAUGAAUUGUAUAACAAGGAGCCUUCUUUAGGAUUUUGGUAUGUAGAAAUUAGGUAGCAUAAUCAUGCAAUUUUGUAAGAAGAUAGAUGUUCUCUUAACAAAUUAUUGGAGGUUAGGUUGAAGUCCCCUCCUCUUGUACUCAUCUAAAUUAUGUUUAAUGUAAUAAAGGAUAUUCGUGGUUUGUUCAAA
Molecule: long non-coding RNA, 1097 nt
Organism: Lycium barbarum (goji berry)
Lineage: Eukaryota; Viridiplantae; Streptophyta; Magnoliopsida; Solanales; Solanaceae
Exons: 2
Source: RefSeq, a predicted model, not a curated record